CAUGCAUCACGCAAUUUUUUUUCCUUCUUCUCUUUUCUUUUCUAGGGAAAAGGGGUUCGAGGUUAGACUGGGUUGCCGCUUGCGCUGAGAUCUGGGUCUCAUCAGAUGGAGGCAGCACGGGAUGUCAAGGCGGCACGGCGUAGGAUGCUGUGGCGGCUGCGGAGUGGUCGGUGGGGGGUUGUGAGGCGGGGAGUGCGCGCAGUGGCGGCAGGGGCAGGGUCAGGGUCAGGGGCAAGGUGGAGUAGCGGGGGCAACGACGGGGGUGGGACAGGCGCUAGAACAUGCCGUAACCAAGGACUCGUUACUUAUCACUAGACCCACCGAAUCCAGGAUCUGGACGUUUACGUGGUGGUUUAGGAAAACUUUCACGGUACAUACCACGACCUGGACCUGACUAGGCAUGACCUGAACCUCGUAUACCUCUCUUUAAAGAACCAAGCUCAAGACUCAAGUACGUCUCGUUAUAAUGAGUUAUAAACAGGCUGGGAGUUAUGAUAAAAGUUCAGUUGUCGGUCAUACACUCCUUGUUUGACUUCCAGCAGAACAAGGGAAAGAAAGUGUCCCCGGUAACCUGCUCUUAUUGAGUUGGACAUCCUCCUUCCGAUAGCAUGUUUGGAGGUUAAGUCCUAUAGUUACGUGGUCUGGACAUGUAGGGAAACUACCGCAAACCGUGGAUGUAACAGUAACGACCUAUGCGUAACCCUCAGGAACCUUCCAAAUGGGGACUCCGUGACUGGGAUGUUAAGUGCUCUCCAGAUCAACCGACCAAAGACGUUCAGCAGGAGUAGUUUCCAAACGACAUGAGGGACCCGUCACCACUUCGCGGUAACGAUCUGUAACACCGCAUACGACCCAUACCUAAACGACCGUGUAGAGAACGCUACGACCGGGCGUAGAAGACCUCGAUGAAUAUGAUGAAGUAGUACGGUACCAAGACAGAGACGUGACCGCACAAGGAGCACUUCUGGUACUUCUCUCAAGAAGACCCACCUGGUUCCUCAAUGCUCGCCGUAGGCUCAGCUUUGGUGAUGAAAGACGAGAAGGACCGCCAGCAAGUCAAGGGCUACGACAAAACCGAGCCGUUGUAGUCACCAACUAGAAGGGAAGAAUACCAACUCGAACCAUUGCACUUAGCUUGAAAUCCUCCUACGACACGUCCUAUGUGAGCACCAAUUGAAGAGGACCACUUGAACCAUUAUCGAAUGGAUUAACGAAUUCUGAGAACACUUCGAUCAUCUCUACAGACCUAUUUGUCUACUUUCGCGUACAUUGAUGGCAAAAGCAAAAGACAACCUCCACUUACUUGAUACCAGUGAACCCUAUCCUACCUCUACUUAACAAUGUGCAUACGUAAAACUAAGGAUGGCAUGGCGUAGCCUAAACAAAAAAACAAAAAACCAGGGAGAAC
This 1408-nucleotide ribosomal RNA is filed under the name Triticum aestivum (bread wheat). Its description in RNAcentral is "partial small subunit ribosomal RNA". The record is from RNAcentral. Lineage: Eukaryota; Viridiplantae; Streptophyta; Magnoliopsida; Poales; Poaceae.